GGUGAGAUGGCCGAGCGGUCUAAGGCGCCAGGUUCAGGCCCACCUGAAUUUCUGAUUCUUCUCUGAAGUAUCUUCCUGGUCUCGAAAGGGGCGUGGGUUCGAAUCCCACUCUCAUCA
This 117-nucleotide transfer RNA is filed under the name Podospora comata. It matches the Rfam family "tRNA". Rfam says of the family: Transfer RNA (tRNA) molecules are approximately 80 nucleotides in length. Their secondary structure includes four short double-helical elements and three loops (D, anti-codon, and T loops). RNAcentral also lists the same sequence under 2 other names. The record is from RNAcentral. Lineage: Eukaryota; Fungi; Ascomycota; Sordariomycetes; Sordariales; Podosporaceae.